This 491-nucleotide ribosomal RNA is filed under the name uncultured bacterium. RNAcentral describes it as "bacterial SSU rRNA". It matches the Rfam family "Bacterial small subunit ribosomal RNA", at positions 1030 to 1529 of the family's 1533-position model. The record is from RNAcentral.
CUGUGAAGGUGCUGCAUGGUUGUCGUCAGCUCGUGCCGUGAGGUGUCGGCUUAAGUGCCAUAACGAGCGCAACCCUUGUUGUCAGUUACUAACAGGUUCCGCUGAGGACUCUGACAAGACUGCCAUCGUAAGAUGUGAGGAAGGUGGGGAUGACGUCAAAUCAGCACGGCCCUUACGUCCGGGGCUACACACGUGUUACAAUGGGGGGUGCAGAGGGCCGCUACCACGCGAGUGGAUGCCAAUCCCAAAAACCUCUCUCAGUUCGGACUGGAGUCUGCAACCCGACUCCACGAAGCUGGAUUCGCUAGUAAUCGCGCAUCAGCCACGGCGCGGUGAAUACGUUCCCGGGCCUUGUACACACCGCCCGUCAAGCCAUGGGAGCCGGGGGUACCUGAAGUGCGUAACCGCGAGGAGCGCCCUAGGGUAAAACUGGUGACUGGGGCUAAGUCGUAACAAGGUAGCCGUACCGGAAGGUGCGGCUGGAUCACCUC